CCUACGGGAGGCAGCAGUGAGGAAUAUUGGUCAAUGGACGAGAGUCUGAACCAGCCAAGUAGCGUGAAGGAUGACUGCCCUAUGGGUUGUAAACUUCUUUUAUAAAGGAAUAAAACGAGGCACGUGUGCCUUUUUGCAUGUACUUUAUGAAUAAGGAUCGGCUAACUCCGUGCCAGCAGCCGCGGUAAUACGGAGGAUCCGAGCGUUAUCCGGAUUUAUUGGGUUUAAAGGGAGCGUAGAUGGGUUGUUAAGUCAGUUGUGAAAGUUUGCGGCUCAACCGUAAAAUUGCAAUUGAUACUGGCAGUCUUGAGUACAGUGGAGGUAGGCGGAAUUCGUGGUGUAGCGGUGAAAUGCUUAGAUAUCACGAAGAACCCCGAUUGCGAAGGCAGCUUACUAAACUGUGACUGACAUUGAUGCUCGAAAGCGUGGGUAGCAAACAGGAUUAGAUACCCCAGUAGUC
RNAcentral lists this ribosomal RNA (460 nucleotides) under uncultured bacterium. RNAcentral describes it as "partial 16S ribosomal RNA". It matches the Rfam family "Bacterial small subunit ribosomal RNA", at positions 338 to 795 of the family's 1533-position model. The record is from RNAcentral.